GACAGAGGAGCCAAGCGUUGUCCGGACUGACUGGGCGUAAAGCGCCCGCAGGCGGCCGUGCACGUGGGGUGUGAAAGCUCGCGGCUUAACUGCGAGAGGCCAUCCCAUACGGCGCGGCUCGAGCCGUCCAGAGGCCGGUGGAAUUGCCGGUGUAGUGGUGAAAUGCGCAGAUAUCGGGAGGAACACCUAUGGCGAAGGCAGCUCGCUGGGACGUUACUGACGCUGAGACGCGAAAGCGUGGGGAGCAAACAGG
Molecule: ribosomal RNA, 253 nt
Filed under: uncultured bacterium
Lineage: Bacteria
Description: partial 16S ribosomal RNA
Rfam family: Bacterial small subunit ribosomal RNA
Source: RNAcentral